RNAcentral lists this ribosomal RNA (253 nucleotides) under uncultured bacterium. RNAcentral describes it as "partial 16S ribosomal RNA". It matches the Rfam family "Bacterial small subunit ribosomal RNA", at positions 524 to 776 of the family's 1533-position model. The record is from RNAcentral.
UACGAAGGGGGCUAGCGUUGUUCGGAAUUACUGGGCGUAAAGCGCAUGUAGGCGGCGAUUCAAGUCGGGGGUGAAAUCCUGAGGCUCAACCUCAGAACUGCCUUCGAUACUGUCUUGCUUGAGUGUGGAAGAGGUUGAUGGAACUGCAAGUGUAGAGGUGAAAUUCGUAGAUAUUUGCAAGAACACCAGUGGCGAAGGCGAUCAACUGGUCCAUUACUGACGCUGAGAUGCGAAAGCGUGGGGAGCAAACAGG